RNAcentral lists this ribosomal RNA (300 nucleotides) under Triticum aestivum (bread wheat). RNAcentral describes it as "partial small subunit ribosomal RNA". Lineage: Eukaryota; Viridiplantae; Streptophyta; Magnoliopsida; Poales; Poaceae. The record is from RNAcentral.
CCAGAGAAGCACGGUGGCAUGGGGUUUAGGCUUUUGCGAUGUUUUAAUUUGGCCAUGUUGUCUAAGAAAUGUUGACGCCUUCUAGCAAAACCAAAUUCUCUUUAUGCCAGGAUUUUAAGAGGAAAGCAUUUUCCAGAUGGCGUCUUUCUUAAUUGAAAAUUAAAUAAACGCAACUCUUUCACAUGGCAAAGCCUAGCAGGUAUUCAAACAUUUAAAAGAUCUCUCAUAUGGAAAGUCGGAGAUGGUUCAAAUAUAAACAUUUGUGAUGACCAUGGGUUCCUAGCAGCCCAACAAAAAUAA